GACAGUGUGGCCGAGUGGUCUAAGGCGCUAGAUUAGAAUGUUCCAUUAGGAAUAUAUAAUCUAUCUAGUCCCUGCGGGGUCGCCAGUUCGAAUCUGGUCGCUGUCG
This 106-nucleotide transfer RNA is filed under the name Rasamsonia emersonii. RNAcentral describes it as "tRNA-Ser". It matches the Rfam family "tRNA". Rfam says of the family: Transfer RNA (tRNA) molecules are approximately 80 nucleotides in length. The record is from RNAcentral. Lineage: Eukaryota; Fungi; Ascomycota; Eurotiomycetes; Eurotiales; Trichocomaceae. RNAcentral also lists the same sequence under 1 other name.